Molecule: ribosomal RNA, 253 nt
Filed under: uncultured bacterium
Lineage: Bacteria
Description: partial 16S ribosomal RNA
Rfam family: Bacterial small subunit ribosomal RNA
Source: RNAcentral
UACGGGGGGAGCAAGCGUUGUUCGGAUUUACUGGGCGUAAAGGGCGCGUAGGCGGCGUGACAAGUCACUUGUGAAAUCUCCGGGCUUAACCCGGAGCGGCCAAGUGAUACUGUCGUGCUAGAGUGCGGAAGGGGCUACUGGAAUUCUCGGUGUAGCGGUGAAAUGCGUAGAUAUCGAGAGGAACACCUAUAGCGAAGGCAGCUUGCUGGGACGUUACUGACGCUAAGGCGCGAAAGCGUGGGGAGCGAACAGG